Salmo salar (Atlantic salmon) is the source of this 307-nucleotide non-coding RNA. Lineage: Eukaryota; Metazoa; Chordata; Actinopteri; Salmoniformes; Salmonidae. The record is from RefSeq and is a predicted model, not a curated record.
UUCAAACCCCUCACACCUGAGAGAGCUGGACCUGAGUAACAAUGACCUGAAGGAUUCAGGAGUGAAGCUGCUCUCUGAUGGACUGGGGAAUCCCCACUGUAAACUGGAGACUCUGAGACUCACUGGCUGUAAAAUCACAGACACAUCCUGGAAAGUGUUGGCCUCAGUUCUCAGUUCAAACCCCUCACACCUGAGAGAGCUGGACCUGAGUAACAAUGACCUGAAGGAUUCAGGGGUGAAGCUGCUCUGUGCUGGACUGGAGGAUCCCCACUGUAAACUGGAGACUCUGAGACUCACUGGCUGUAAA